This 68-nucleotide transfer RNA is filed under the name Bos taurus (domestic cattle). It matches the Rfam family "tRNA". From Rfam's summary of the family: Transfer RNA (tRNA) molecules are approximately 80 nucleotides in length. Their secondary structure includes four short double-helical elements and three loops (D, anti-codon, and T loops). RNAcentral also lists the same sequence under 2 other names. Lineage: Eukaryota; Metazoa; Chordata; Mammalia; Artiodactyla; Bovidae. The record is from Rfam by way of RNAcentral.
UCCCUGGUGGUCUAAUGGUUAAGACUCUGCACUUCUAAUGCAGGGGAUGUGGGUCUGAUCCCUGGGAA